AAAAAAAAACGGUCGUUGCUCCCGCGAUUCUCUCCGACGACUUCGGACGUGAUUUUUUCCGACUUCGCCGCCGGCGACUUGAGCUCCGAUUUCGCCGGCGAUUUGAGCUCUAAUUUUACCGGCGAGUUAGCUUCCAAUAUCGCCGUAGCUUCCAAGCCGAUAAUCUGCUCCCAAAGUGAGCUUCCUCUUCAACGGCAAAAGUAAAUCCGAUCUCGUUUUGAUUUGUAGAUUAAUGUGAAUUUCUUGUUGGAGUUAGUUGUUCAUAACAUAAAAUUGUUGUAUUGUUCAUUCUGGGCUGUUUUAUCGUUUUGAAUCAGAGAGUUUAGUGAGUGUUCAAUCGAAAUUUAUGAUUUGUGAAACCCAGAAUUGACGAACUGGGACAAAUGGUAAAACUUAGAUAUCAUAGUAUAAGCGGUACAAAUGUUUUAUUGAGAUACAAUAGGACAGGUGGUACAAAUGGUAUUAGUGAGUUAUAAUAUAGGUAUAAUUAUAUCUAAAUCUAAACGAUUACGUAAUUGUGUUUUUAUAAUUUAUUUGUAAUUACAGGAGACGAUGAAGAACAAGCACACAUUCAUACAAUUUGACAAUGGGUAUUAUUCAGAAGAGCAUGAGUGGAUUUCAAACAAUUCUUUAAGCGGUGUAUUGUUGAGGACGUCAAAGGUAACAUACUCUAUGUUAGUAGAAAAGAUAUGCAAGAAGAUUGGAAUAGAUGAAACCUCAAGGAAGGUAAAAUUGAGUUAUAUUCUAUGCACAUCUCAGAGAGAGACAUCUAUUGUAGAUGAUGAUGACUUUUUAGGUUAUCUAAUGGUAGUGAAUGCUAAGGGAAUUAGACCAGCUUUGAACGUGGAGGUAGUAAAUAAAGAAUCUGAGAGGGUGAAACAAAUUUCAAGGGUAAAGGGAAGAAGUUCAGUUGGUGUUAAUUAUGAGGAGUUGAAUGUUUGUACCGUGUACUUGUGCUGUAUGUACUAUUGCUUUAUGUAUUAUGUCUUCAUUUUUAAGUACUUUGGAAUUUUCUUAAGUAUUGUGUUGUUAUGUCUGUACCGUGUACUUGUGCCGUCUGAACUAUUGCUUCAUUUUUAAGUAUUUUGGAAUUUUGUUAAGUGUUAUUAUGUAUGUACCUUGUACUUGUACCGUAUGUACUAGUUUUUUCAUGUUUAUCUCUUACAAUAAAACCCCUCCUAUAUAUAUAAGAAAGAAUUAUACUUUUAAUAUUAUUUCUUUUUAC
This 1225-nucleotide small RNA is filed under the name Arabidopsis thaliana (thale cress). RNAcentral describes it as "ATSL222420". The record is from RNAcentral. Lineage: Eukaryota; Viridiplantae; Streptophyta; Magnoliopsida; Brassicales; Brassicaceae.